GAUGAACGCUGGCGGCGUGCUUAACACAUGCAAGUCGAACGGAAAGGCCCAAGCUUGCUUGGGUACUCGAGUGGCGAACGGGUGUGUAACACGUGGGUGAUCUGCCCUGCACUUCGGGAUAAGCCUGGGAAACUGGGUCUAAUACCGGAUAGGCCCACUCCUUGGGUGUUGUGGUGGAAAGUUUUUUCGGUGUGGGAUGAGCUCGCGGCCUAUCAGCUUGUUGGUGGGGUAAUGGCCUACCAAGGCGUCGACGGGUAGCCGGCCUGAGAGGGUGUACGGCCACAUUGGGACUGGGAUACGGCCCAGACUCCUACGGGGGGCAGCAGUGGGGAAUAUUGGACAAUGGGCGCAAGGCUGAUGGAGGGAAGCCGCGUUGGGGGUGACGGCCUUCGGGUUGGAAACCCCUUUCGCGAGGGACGAAGCGUUUUGUGACGGUACCUGGAGAAGAAGCACCGGCUAACUACGUG
Molecule: ribosomal RNA, 467 nt
Filed under: uncultured bacterium
Lineage: Bacteria
Description: partial 16S ribosomal RNA
Rfam family: Bacterial small subunit ribosomal RNA
Source: RNAcentral